AGUGAACGCUGGCGGUAGGCCUAACACAUGCAAGUCGAACGGCAGCACAGUAAGAGCUUGCUCUUACGGGUGGCGAGUGGCGGACGGGUGAGGAAUACAUCGGAAUCUACUUUUUCGUGGGGGAUAACGUAGGGAGACUUACGCUAAUACCGCAUACGACCUACGGGUGAAAGCAGGGGAUCUUCGGACCUUGCGCGAUUGAAUGAGCCGAUGUCGGAUUAGCUAGUUGGCGGGGUAAAGGCCCACCAAGGCGACGAUCCGUAGCUGGUCUGAGAGGAUGAUCAGCCACACUGGAACUGAGACACGGUCCAGACUCCUACGGGAGGCAGCAGUGGGGAAUAUGGGACAAUGGGCGCAAGCCUGAUCCAGCCAUACCGCGUGGGUGAAGAAGGCCUGCGGGUUGUAAAGCCCUUUUGUUGGGAAAGAAAAGCAGCAGGUUAAUACCCCGCUGUUCUGACGGUACCCAAAGAAUAAGCACCGGCUAACUUCGU
RNAcentral lists this ribosomal RNA (491 nucleotides) under uncultured bacterium. RNAcentral describes it as "partial 16S ribosomal RNA". It matches the Rfam family "Bacterial small subunit ribosomal RNA", at positions 29 to 506 of the family's 1533-position model. The record is from RNAcentral.